GCUGGGAUAGGCACAUGGGUACUUCAUUCCUCAAAGGAGACGUAAUAUGUGAGUGUCAAGACGAAAACACAGUAUAUCAAAAACUUUGCCCCGAUUUUGUGUUUAGGAAAAUGAGCUGGGGUUGGAUCCAUGAGAAUUAGGGUGACACAAAAUCAAGUGAGACUUGCAAAGUUGCCCCAGUCAUGGAAUUAUGGAUUGAUGAAAUUUUGUGUGAGACUUACAAAGUUGCCCCAGUUUUUUUUUUUAUCGUGGUAUGGGUUGAUGAAAAAUUCGUGUGAGGUUCACAAAGUUGCCCCCAGUUUUUCUUCGACAAGGGGUUCAGUUUGGAAGAGGUAGUGGACAUGUACAGGAUCGGCUAAAAGGGUGGCCUCCGAUUGGUUUGAUUUUUCUUUUUGAAUGCUUUUGGUUGGAUGGCAGGAAGAUCCCCUCUUCUUGAGACACUUAUUUUUUCUUCUUUUUUUUUCAUUUAUUCAUUUUCCACUUUUUUUCUUUUUUUUUUCUUUUUUACAACACUUUGAAAGUCAUUUCUCCUUAUCGCAAAAUUAAGCUUCAUGAAAAUUUUAGCAAACAUUAUCCAAUCUGCGUGGACUUUAUUAAGCUUGUAACGUGGCCAAGGGCUAAAAGGUAUUGAAAGAAAGGAUAAAAAGGCCCAAAUCAAUGUUUGUUG
This 667-nucleotide long non-coding RNA is filed under the name Vigna radiata. RNAcentral describes it as "long non-coding RNA (VRAD_LNC013794)". The record is from RNAcentral. Lineage: Eukaryota; Viridiplantae; Streptophyta; Magnoliopsida; Fabales; Fabaceae.